GGCUUACGGUGGAUACCUAGGCACACAGAG
This 30-nucleotide ribosomal RNA is filed under the name Oscillatoriales cyanobacterium CMT-2BRIN-NPHLC14. RNAcentral's name for it is "partial 23S ribosomal RNA". The record is from RNAcentral. Lineage: Bacteria; Bacillati; Cyanobacteriota; Cyanophyceae; Oscillatoriales.